ACUGGCUAAAUUCUCUAGGAUUCAUUGUCAAGAAGAAGAGGAGGAAAAAACAGAUUUUUUUAAAAAAAGAUUCCAAGAACAAAUGCAAAACCUGAUAACAAAGAAGAUGAGUUCCACUUGGACCCAAGAAGUAUGGAGGGGUCUCUCUGAAGCGUGGAUGUGUGGCAGUGACCCUAUGGAGGUGCUUGAAUUCAGCCCUUCCACCCAAAAUGGAAGAGACCCUCUGGACCAAGUCAACCCCUUAUCUCCAGUUUUCAGAGACUUUGUUAGAGGACAGGGGUAUCCAGAGAAAUCAAG
This is a long non-coding RNA of Gavia stellata (red-throated loon), 297 nucleotides long. RefSeq lists it as uncharacterized. The record is from RefSeq and is a predicted model, not a curated record. The transcript is spliced from 3 exons. Lineage: Eukaryota; Metazoa; Chordata; Aves; Gaviiformes; Gaviidae.